AUUGAACGCUGGCGGUAGGCCUAACACAUGCAAGUCGAACGGUAACAGGAAGCAGCUUGCUGCUUCGCUGACGAGUGGCGGACGGGUGAGUAAUGUCUGGGAAACUGCCUGAUGGAGGGGGAUAACUACUGGAAACGGUAGCUAAUACCGCAUAACGUCGCAAGACCAAAGAGGGGGACCUUAGGGCCUCUUGCCAUCGGAUGUGCCCAGAUGGGAUUAGCUAGUAGGUGGGGUAACGGCUCACCUAGGCGACGAUCCCUAGCUGGUCUGAGAGGAUGACCAGCCACACUGGAACUGAGACACGGUCCAGACUCCUACGGGAGGCAGCAGUGGGGAAUAUUGCACAAUGGGCGCAAGCCUGAUGCAGCCAUGCCGCGUGUAUGAAGAAGGCCUUCGGGUUGUAAAGUACUUUCAGCGGGGAGGAAGGGAGUAAAGUUAAUACCUUUGCUCAUUGACGUUACCCGCAGAAGAAGCACCGGCUAACUCCGUG
This 490-nucleotide ribosomal RNA is filed under the name uncultured bacterium. Its description in RNAcentral is "partial 16S ribosomal RNA". It matches the Rfam family "Bacterial small subunit ribosomal RNA", at positions 30 to 507 of the family's 1533-position model. The record is from RNAcentral.